GGAAUGUAUUUUGUAUAGCGUGUAUAUAUUGUAGAUUAUCUAUAUAGUUGCAGAUACAUCAUAGCACAAAUGUUUUUACUUGUUUAACAAAGUCCAGAGCCCUGCCUUUUACAGUGGUGCAGGCUUCCACUUCCAGCCUUGUGACCUUCUUCCCUGGUUGCUCUGGAGCCUGUCCUGGAGCCAGAUUUUCCCUUUGCUUUCACACCACUGUUCUCUGAACCUUACUCCUGCAAGCCUUGGUGGGAUCAGGGGUCUCUUCAGAGCUGAGCGACAGUGGCACAUGCCUCAUUCUUGCCUUCCCUAAAAAGUCACUCUAGAAGUGAAGUGUUGAUGUGUGCCACUGCCACCAGUACACCCUGCUCCAACCCCUGCUUGUGGAUUUAGUUAAUGCCAAUUCAUGAGGCAAGCAGCCAUCACCUCUCAUUGAGUGGAUCACAUCUUCAUUACCCAUCACCUCGUUCUCAGGCCCUGAAGGUUCUGUGACCCCAGAAGAAAACCCAGAUAAAUAUUUUUUUUUCCUCCCUCCCAUCCUCAAGGUUCCUGGGCACAAGGUGACUACUCCCCUCCUUUCUGUCUUGGAGGGUCCCAGGCCCCCAUGGAAGAGGGAGGCGAAGUGCAGAAGCCCAUGGUCUAGAGAUCCAACCAGUUAUGAGGCAUAAGGGGGGACCUGAACCAGAGCUGCUGCUGGACAGACAGUGAAACCCAUCAACCUCCAGUAGCCGGGAUACUUCUGCCAUUGUUUGCAUCCUCUGAGGAUGGAGGGAGUGACUUCUUCUUUUAUAUGUUUUGAGAGUCUUAUUAUAGUUGCUAUAUUGAUAGAGCAAAGCAUGGACUAAGAUUUGACUUGAGAUCUGCACAGGGUUCAAGUCAUUAAAUUUAUUAUAAAUUCUGUAUUGCACUACUUACAGCUUGUACAAUGUUAAUUUGUUUUGUAGAAAUCCCAUGGCAUUUUAAUAAUAAUGAUUGAUGUGCUAUACUAAUGACAAUAUCCUAUCAAAAAUGCUUUCAUUGCAACCACAAUAUAGCACCAUCAUCAUUUUGCCAAAGACUAGCUCUUCCCUUAGUGUCAGAUGAAAGCCAUCCACUAUGAAUCCUGCUAAUAAGAGCAAAUAUCUAUGUGUGGGGACAUGCUUGGGGGCACAACAUGUAAUCUGAGCAGGGAAUUCAGCAAGUCUCUAUGAUUUGCCUAUUCUGUACAAUUUCUUUUAUUUUUUGCCUUCUUUUACAUUUUCUUACAAGUACAGCUCAGCACAGGCCUACAAAAGUCAGACAUGAGUAUCCACAAUCACACCUCAUUUGUCACCACAACCAUACUGGGUCUGGCUGGGAUGGGCCCCGUUUUUCCACAGCAGCCCUGUGGUACCCUGGUACAGAUUGGUGACCAAAGCAGUGUGGAUUACACACCAGCAUGAUGCCUGUGGGGGAACUUGCAGAGCCUCAAGGCCUUCUCCACUCCUCACGCUGGUGAGCAGGCUGUGGGUGAGCCAGAGUCUGGGAGGGGGCACAGCUACAAUUAUGGAGCUCAGCUGACUAAAGGCAUAACUCAUGCCAUUAAGGUUCUAUGUGCAGCAAUAAAACUGGGGAGGAGUGGCAGGAUGUGGGUUUAGCUAAAGCAGCCAUCACUCAGAGGCUAGCUGGGCUCUGGUCUGCUGCCAGGAGGUGGUCUGGCAGAUUUGGUGCUCAAAGAGACUAUAAAACAGAGCAGAAGAAAAUAGCAUCAAAGUGGUUUCCAGUGGUUCAGCUGAGGUGCAGAAGAAAAGGCACUAAAACUAACCAAAACAAUGAACAGAAAACAGCAUUGGAGGAGACUGGCCUAUACCAAGAGCAGAGGAAGAACUCAGGGUCUUGGUGAGCAUGGAGAAAAUGACAAGGUCUAAAGACCAAAUAGAAAUUAAGCUGGCUACUGCAGAAAAAGAUAAUAAAGUAUUCCUAUAAAAGCAUUAACAACCAAAGAAGGGCUAAGGAAAUCUUUAUCUCAGUUCAGUUUUGGACCCUUCAUACAAGAAAGAUAUUGAGGUUUAACUCCCCACAGUCCAAUACCUCAGCACCAGACUCUUAGCAUUUGACAUUUAAAACCCCUGGGAGUCUAUGACAAGAGCUUCCAGCAAAGCUGCAAACAUCAGAUACACUUACCAAGAAAUAAAAAAAUGUGUAUGUGUACUAGGGCAGUAGAACAAUUCAAUAUAAAAUUUAUGUACAAAUAUGAGCUAAAUCCUUCAACUUCUGCAAUACAAUGUGGUAAUUUUUUUGUUAUCUAAAAAGAAUGCUGCAGAGACAGGAAUGUUUCCCACCAGGCUGAACUGACAGAUCUUCAGACCAGAAUCCAGGCAAGGACCAGGGAGCACAGAGAAUUAAACACCAAAGCCUUCACCAUUUUCUGUUCCCAUGGCUUUAAAUUCUGUCAAAAUGGAGGCAAUUUUCACAGAGCUGUUGGAAGUCACCUGUAACUCUUCAGAAGCAUUUUGGGUGCACAAGCUACAGCACAUACAGUAAGAUUAGUUCUGCAAUUUUCCUUCUGCUCUUUCCCCCAUCUCAUCCUGUUAAAUGCAGUUGAGUGGGUUUGCUUCCAAUAAUCUGAUGCAUAAAGCAAGUGAAUUGAUCCAGUGCAUUAAUUGUAUUGUAUGCCUUUUGUGUAGUAUUUGGGUGUAAACUUGGUAUAAUUACAUAGCCCCAGACUUGGGGUCUAAGAACCUAAUUGUAAAAUAAUGUGAUUAUCUGAUAUUACAUUUAAAAAAUUUCUUUACCAAACACUGUAAAUUCAUUUCCACUGUUAUAACAUAAUUCUGAAAAUUCAACUCUAAUGAGGAACUUGUCUGAGAAUAAGCAGCUGAAGUGAAUACUCACCACAAGAGUUUAUAUACUCUAUUUUUGUAUUCAUCACUGAAAGCUGUACAGGUGAAAUUCUGCUUUACAGAAUUGCUUCACAGAAGCAAUAGAAAGUUACCGGGUUAAAAAAAAAAAAAAAAUUAGAUUUAUUCUCAGAGAAAAAAAAAAAAAAUCCUUUCUGACAACUGUCUUAACUGGACUGAAAAAAAUCACUUUAUAAUACAUCAUUGUAUUAUGAUAAAUA
Molecule: long non-coding RNA, 3070 nt
Organism: Passer domesticus (house sparrow)
Lineage: Eukaryota; Metazoa; Chordata; Aves; Passeriformes; Passeridae
Exons: 3
Source: RefSeq, a predicted model, not a curated record